GGUAACUCAGAAUUGUGCCGAAAUCGAGGGUUGGGUCAGUCACCAGACGCACCGCCCCAAUGUUGGAGUCAUACAAGCCACCAAAAGCCAUGGCCUUGAUCACCAGGAGCAGGGCACCUAAACCCAGAAUCGCCAGAUGGUGCCCCAGAAUCAGACCCAGUUGCUUGGGGUCACCCCA
RNAcentral lists this antisense RNA (178 nucleotides) under Synechococcus sp. SynAce01. RNAcentral's name for it is "Antisense RNA which regulates isiA expression". It matches the Rfam family "Antisense RNA which regulates isiA expression". The record is from Rfam by way of RNAcentral. Lineage: Bacteria; Bacillati; Cyanobacteriota; Cyanophyceae; Synechococcales; Synechococcaceae.